Molecule: ribosomal RNA, 784 nt
Filed under: uncultured Glomus
Lineage: Eukaryota; Fungi; Glomeromycota; Glomeromycetes; Glomerales; Glomeraceae
Description: SSU rRNA
Rfam family: Eukaryotic small subunit ribosomal RNA
Source: RNAcentral
GGUAGGAUAGAGGCCUACCAUGGUUUUAACGGGCAACGGGGAAUUAGGGUUCGAUUCCGGAGAGGGAGCCUGAGAAACGGCUACCACAUCCAAGGAAGGCAGCAGGCGCGCAAAUUACCCAAUCCUGACACAGGGAGGUAGUGACAAUAAAUAACAAUACAGGGCCCUUUGGGUCUUGUAAUUGGAAUGAGUACAAUUUAAAUCCCUUAACGAGGAACAAUUGGAGGGCAAGUCUGGUGCCAGCAGCCGCGGUAAUUCCAGCUCCAAUAGCGUAUAUUAAAGUUGUUGCAGUUAAAAAGCUCGUAGUUGAAUUUCGGGAUCAAGGAAUCGGUCAUGCCUUGGUAUGUACUGGUUUUAUUGGUUCUCACCUUCUAAAGAACCAUAAUGUCAUUCAUUUGAUGUUAUGGGGAAUUAGGACUGUUACCUUGAAAAAAUUAGAGUGUUUAAAGCAGGCUUACGCUUGAAUACAUUAGCAUGGAAUAAUGAAAUAGGACAUCAGAUUCUAUUUUGUUGGUUUCUAGGAUCGAUGUAAUGAUUAAUAGGGAUAGUUGGGGGCAUUAGUAUUCAAUUGUCAGAGGUGAAAUUCUUGGAUUUAUUGAAGACUAACUACUGCGAAAGCAUUUGCCAAGGAUGUUUUCAUUAAUCAAGAACGAAAGUUAGGGGAUCGAAGACGAUCAGAUACCGUCGUAGUCUUAACCAUAAACUAUGCCGACUAGGGAUCGGAUGAUGUUAAUUUUAUAAUGACUCAUUCGGCACCGUACGGGAAACCAAAGUGUUUGGGUUC